AAGAGACUUACUCAGAUAUUAUACUCCGCAAAUACUUAGCAAACUGAAUUCAACGGAUAUCAAAUUUAACGUCAUAAAUUACUGUCCACGGUGGCGCUAAUCACAGCAGCAAUUCAACCGUCAAUAUCCAGCCAUUAGCAAUAUCAAUUCAGCAUCCAUGGCGAUUCAUGGAGAUUUGGGAGUCUUCGCAACACUAUCACCUCAUCAUCGGACUUAUCAUCUUCCUUUCAAGGCUUCCUUGCAUUCUUCUUCUUCUACUUUUAAGAAAUACUCCGUUGAAAUGGUCUUGAGCUUCAAACUUCAUCUGUCCAGGAAUACGAUGUACCAUGGAUUCCAGAUGUUUCCUCCCUUUAAAUUCCAAAGUGAUUUUGAUGGUUAUGCUGAUGCUACGACAUCCACAAAGGUAUUCUUUCCGUUGAAGAAUGGUGAUUCACUAGGAGAAAGUUUUCAAAAUUGCAUGUUUUUUACUGGAAGACCUGUUAUAAAUUGGAGAAAACACAGAAUAAAACUAGUGGCUCUCUGUGGGACUCUGAUAGAAAGUUCACAAAACGUGUUAGAGAAUGAUGCUAAGCGUAAAAAAGGGAAGUCUACAGAAAGGGUUAUGGAAACAUUGCAGUCAAUUUCCAACCCAACCAUGGCCUUUGAUUAUUUUAAAUCUGUAGCUGGGCUUCCUUAUGUUGCCCAUACCACUGAAACCUGUAAUUACAUGCUUGAAAUUUUGAGGACGCAUAAGAGAGUAGGAGAUAUGGUUAUUGUGUUUGACUUAAUGCAGAAUCAGAUAAUAAAUAGGAAUUCAACCACAUACUUGACAAUUUUUAAGGCCCUCAAUGUAAGGGGUGGAUUGAGGCGAGCCCCCGUUGCGCUUGAUAAAAUGGAAUCUGCUGGAUUUAUUUUGAAUGCUUAUUCAUACAAUGGGUUGAUUCAUUUUCUUCUUCAAUCUGGAUAUAGUAGGGAGGCUUUGGAGGUGUAUAAAAGAAUGCUUAUAGGAGGAAAUAAGCCUAGUUUGAAGACAUAUUCUGCACUCAUGGUUGCAGUAGGGAAACGGAGGGAUACUGAAACUGUGAUGGAACUGUUAAAAGAGAUGGAGAAUUUGGGAUUGAGGCCUAAUGUAUACACAUUUACUAUAUGCAUUAGAGUUCUCGGGAGAGCGGGGAAAAUUGAUGAGGCAUUUAGAAUUUUGAAAAGAAUGGAUGAUGAAGGGUGUGGAGCAGACGUCGUUACUUAUACAGUUCUCAUUGAUUCCCUUUGUGUUGCUGGAAAACUGGAGGAGGCAAAGCAUUUAUUUCUGAAGAUAAAAGACAGUUGUCACAAACCAGAUCGAGUAACUUACAUUACUCUUAUGGACAAAUUGAGCGAUUGUGGAGAUUUGGAUGGUGUACAUGAACUUUGGUGUCAGAUGGAAACUGAUGGCUAUCCUGCUGAUGUUGUUUCCUUUACCAUUCUCAUUAAUACUUUAUCCAAUGCAGGAAAAAUUGAUGAGGCGUUCACUAAACUAGACAUCAUGAGGGAACAAGGUAUUAUGCCAAACCUUCAUACCUACAACACACUGAUCAGGGGCCUCUUGAGAGAAAAUAGGCUAGAGGAAGCUUUAAGUCUGUUUGAGAGCUUGGAAUCUUUCGGUGUUGAACCCACUGCCUACACCUUUAUUAUGUUUAUAGACUACUAUGGGAAGUCAGGAUCAUCAAACAAAGCUCUUGAAACAUUUGAUAAAAUGAAAAGUAGGGGGAUUGUCCCAAGUCUGGUUGCCUGUAAUGCUUACUUGUUUAGUCUUGCUGAGGCUGGGAUGCUGAAGGAAGCAAAUGAUGUUUUUAAUGGACUUAGAAAAAGUGGGAUUGCUCCAGAUUCUAUAACAUAUAACAUGAUGAUGAAGUGCUAUAGUAAGGUAGGCAGGGUGGAUGACGCUGUUGAGUUGCUUGCCGAUAUGACAGAAAACGGAUGCCAACCUGAUGUGGCUGUCAUCAACUCACUUAUUGACAUGCUUUACAAGGUUGAUCGAUUCGAUGAAGCAUGGGAAAUGUACCGGAGAUUGAAGCAUAUGAAGAUUGCUCCAACAGUUGUAACUUACAACAUUUUACUCUCUGGAUUGAGGAAGGAAGGUAGAGUCCAACAUUGUAUCAAUUUAUUCACAAGCAUGAUGAAAAGUGGUUGUCAUCCAAACACGGUUACUUUCAACACGCUUUUAGACUGCCUCUGCAAAAAUGAUGAGGUUGAUAUGGCUAUAAAGAUGUUUUUUGAAAUGAGAAACAUGAAUUGUUUUCCCGAUGUGUUCACAUAUAAUACUCUUAUCUAUGGUCUAACAACAGAAAACCGAGCAUAUGAGGCAUUUCUGCUAUUCCACCAUAUGAGGAAAUCACUGUAUGCUGAUUGUGUAACUUUGUGUACUCUUGUUCCUGGUGUAGUGAAGAAUUCAAGAACUGAGGAUGCCAUAAAUAUUAUCAGGAUCUUUUUGUUUGAUCCUCAGGAUUGUGCAGACCGGGCAUUUUGGGAAGAUCUAAUCAGUGGGGUUAUUGUUCACACAAGCAUUGACAAAGCUAUGGCAUUUGCUGAAAGAUUAUUAUUAUCCGACCUUUGCAAAGAUGACUCAUUCUUAGUGCCUCUCUUCAAGGUUUUGUCCAAACACAAAAGGGCACUUGAAGCACGAGACUUCUUUGUAAGGGCUAGGAGCAGUGGAAUUAAGGUUACGUUGGAAGUGUAUAAUAUUUUGAUUGGAGGGCUUCUGGAUAUCAAUCUUCUGGAGAUGGCUUUGAGUCUCUUUGAGGAUAUGAAAAAAGUUGGUUGUAGCCCAGAUGUGUCCACAUACAAUUUGUUACUAGAUGCUUUUGGGAAAUCUGGCGAAGUUCAUCGGCUCCUUAGUCUUUAUGAAGAUAUGCAGAAUCGGGGUUGUACGCCCAACUCAAUUACUCACAAUGUCAUCAUAUCUGGCCUUGUGAAAUGUAAUAGCCUAGACAAGGCCAUCGAUAUGUUCUAUAAUCUUGUAAGCGGAGAUUUUUCGCCCACUCCGUGUACAUAUGGCCCUUUGUUAGAUGGAUUGGCAAAGUCAGGAAGACUGGAGGAAGCAAAAAAAUUCUUCGAGGAGAUGAUUGAUUAUGGAUGUGAACCUAAUUGUGCUAUUUAUAACAUUCUGAUUAAUGGUUUUGGCAAAUCGGGUGAUUUGGACACUGCUUGCACUUUGUUUAAAAGGAUGCUUAAAGAAGGAAUCCGACCCGAUGUAAAAUCUUACUCAAUUCUUAUCGACUGUUUAUUGACGGUAGGGGAAGUGGACGAUGCAUGGGAUUAUUUCGAGGAAUUAAAACAACAGGGCCUUGAUCCUGAUUUAAUAUGUUACAACCUUAUGAUGAACGGUCUUGGAAGAUCCGGAAGGGUUAGAGAGGCUCUUUCUCUUUUUAGAGAAAUGUGUAAAAGGGGGAUUUCUCCCGACUUGUAUACCUACAAUUCCUUGAUACUACAUCUGGGAAACGCACGUAUGAUGGAAGAAGCAGGAAAACUUUAUGACCAGCUAUUGCUUAAGGGCUUGGAGCCUAAUGUGUUCACAUAUAAUGCUCUUAUCCGAGGCUAUGGCAUGUCCGGAGAUCCUAACCUUGCAUAUGCUGUCUAUCAGAGGAUGAUGGCUGGUGGAUGUAGCCCCAACUUGGGAACCUUUGCACAACUUCCUAAUCAGUCUUGACUCUGGAAAAGAUAGUUCGGGGCUGAAUCUACGACUUCUCUUCAUCCUUACCUUAGCAACGAUCAGGAAAAAAAACUGCGAAAACUGUGAAGAUUCAGGCCUUUUGUACAGCAUAACAAGUAAUUUGCACUGGGAUCCCCUAUGCUUUCACUAUUACUGUCUUUUCUCCUGGUGAAAUUUAGAAUUUUGUAGUUCCUGGUAUUAAUGUAUAUUCCAUUUCCAUCUAUCUAUGCAUAUAUAUUUGUGCUGAA
RNA transcript from Amaranthus tricolor (Joseph's coat), 3915 nucleotides. It is a transcript of the gene named pentatricopeptide repeat-containing protein At4g31850, chloroplastic, with no coding region annotated. NCBI's taxonomy places the organism in Eukaryota, Viridiplantae, Streptophyta, Magnoliopsida, Caryophyllales, Amaranthaceae. The transcript is spliced from 4 exons. The record is from RefSeq and is a predicted model, not a curated record.